This 927-nucleotide long non-coding RNA is filed under the name Monodelphis domestica (gray short-tailed opossum). Its description in RNAcentral is "lncRNA (ENSMODG00000034631.2)". The record is from RNAcentral. Lineage: Eukaryota; Metazoa; Chordata; Mammalia; Didelphimorphia; Didelphidae.
CUUUUUUAUAUAGCACUUUGGGGUUUGCAAAGUGCCUUAAAAUAUUUUCUUGCCUAACUUUCCAACAAGCUUAUGAAGUUGUUACUACAGGGUCUAGUAUAUACAUUUUGCAGAUCACCAAACUGAGGAUAAAAAAAAAAUGUUUUGUGAUUUGCUAGGAUCACAGUGGAAAGAGAACCAAGAGAAGAAUAUGAACCAAAGUGUACCCUGAUUCUAUAUCCAGCAUUGUCUCUACGGUAUCACAUCCCACUGUUGCCACUAUUGUAAAAUGGGGUGACAAACCUUCAACUUGGAGUCAAAGAGCAUCAUAUUAUCACAUGAUCAGUCAAUUAUUUAUCAAGCUCAGGAAGAAGGAAGCUGUGGUUUAUUGUUUAGCCAUCAGCUAGAUCUCCAGCUAUUGAUCAUUAGGUUGAACAAGAUCAAUAGUCCAAAGAAGUGAAGGAGACUACAGGUGCACUGCUACAGAAAGAAACAUGGCUAUGUAAGAGAGAAGUUACAAAAGGAGAGAAAAAAUCAAUUCCAGCAAUGCAAAGGAACAGCCCAAGUGGAGAAAGAAGAAGGAAGACUCAAGAUUCCAGGAAGGAAUAGAGGAUCUGAGAAAAUUCCAAACUGCCAGCUUACUUCUGGCCCUUCUUCCAUCCCCCAUACCACAGAAGGCAUCACCCAGCAAACUAAACAGAUUUUGUCUUUCAUGUUUCCAGUUCUCAGUUCAUUCUCUGUAAAUGAACAUUCACAAAUGAUUCUUCAAACAUUAAAUUGGUAUCUGCAUAUACUGUUUUCUUAGUUCCAUUCAUUUCAGUUUCAUAAUAUUAUUCUAAGGAAAUAGUAAAGACUGGGCAUUUGCUGUUAUCUAGAGCCACUUUUCAAAGAUUCCAGGACUAAGCUAGCCUUCUUUGUGCUGAGAAUAUUCAUAUAGGUAGUCUAAUC